AAGUAUGCCAUAUUAUCAUGCGAUCAUAUGUCCUUAAUUUUAUGUAUUAUAACCUUAUUUUACAAAAUCUAAAUUAGAUUUGUUGAUUUCUAUCCCCUCUACCAGGUUCUUGAUGCUAGUUCGCAUGAGCCAUGGGGUCCUCAUGGAACACUGCUUGCAGACAUUGCUCAGGUAGAAACCCGUAAGUUUUGGCAUCUAAAUUUUAUGCUAGAUAUUCUGCGUUUCACAGCAUAGACUCUCAUUUUUUCGUGUACCUGCAGUCAUGAAUACCAGAUGAUCAUGUCAGUCAGUAGUCUGGAAACAAAUUAACGACACUGGCAAGAAUUGGCGGUAUAUUUACAAGG
RNAcentral lists this long non-coding RNA (344 nucleotides) under Medicago truncatula (barrel medic). Its description in RNAcentral is "long non-coding RNA (MTRU_LNC004613)". The record is from RNAcentral. Lineage: Eukaryota; Viridiplantae; Streptophyta; Magnoliopsida; Fabales; Fabaceae.